UUCAUAGAGUGUAAAGGCAUAAGGGAGCUUGACUGCGAGACCUACAAGUCGAGCAGGGUCGAAAGACGGACUUAGUGAUCCGGUGGUUCCGCAUGGAAGGGCCAUCGCUCAACGGAUAAAAGCUACCCCGGGGAUAACAGGCUUAUCUCCCCCAAGAGUUCACAUCGACGGGGAGGUUUGGCACCUCGAUGUCGGCUCAUCGCAUCCUGGGGCUGUAGUCGGUCCCAAGGGUUGGGCUGUUCGCCCAUUAAAGCGGUACGCGAGCUGGGUUCAGAACGUCGUGAGACAGUUCGGUCCCUAUCCGUCGUGGGCGUAGGAAAUUUGAGAGGAGCUGUCCUUAGUACGAGAGGACCGGGAUGGACAUACCUCUGGUGUACCAGUUGUCGUGCCAACGGCAUAGCUGGGUAGCUAUGUGUGGACGGGAUAAGUGCUGAAAGCAUCUAAGCAUGAAGCCCCCCUCAAGAUGAGAUUUCCCAACUUCGGUUAUAAGAUCCCUCAAAGAUGAUGAGGUUAAUAGGUUCGAGGUGGAAGCAUGGUGACAUGUGGAGCUGACGAAUACUAAUCGAUCGAAGACUUAAUCAAAUU
RNAcentral lists this ribosomal RNA (585 nucleotides) under Staphylococcus aureus. RNAcentral describes it as "partial 23S ribosomal RNA". It matches the Rfam family "Bacterial large subunit ribosomal RNA", at positions 2341 to 2925 of the family's 2925-position model. The record is from RNAcentral. Lineage: Bacteria; Bacillati; Bacillota; Bacilli; Caryophanales; Staphylococcaceae.